UCCGGGUACKGUGGCUUGUGACAGUAACCAAGUCCCUGCGAGGUUGAGGUUGGUGGAUYGAGUGAGCUGAGGAGCUCUGGGCUCUUGUGCGUUACAGUAAACAGGUGUACUCACUUAGUUUGGUAUCGAUAUGAUUCUACUGGGGGAGCCCGGGACCACUAGGUCGACUAAGGAGAGGUGCGCUGGCCCAGGUCAGAAACGAAGCAGGCCAAAGCCCUGGUACCUCCAGUAGUGGGAUAGCGCCUGUGAAUAGAGGCUGCAGUGCAGCCUUGGAAAAAAUCUAAACAUAAUAUUUCU
This is an unclassified non-coding RNA of Oncorhynchus tshawytscha (Chinook salmon), 297 nucleotides long. It matches the Rfam family "Metazoan signal recognition particle RNA". Rfam says of the family: The signal recognition particle (SRP) is a universally conserved ribonucleoprotein. It is involved in the co-translational targeting of proteins to membranes. The record is from Ensembl. NCBI's taxonomy places the organism in Eukaryota, Metazoa, Chordata, Actinopteri, Salmoniformes, Salmonidae.